UGGCAAGCAGUUGAGGGCACAUGGUGGAUGCCUUGGCAUCAAGAGCCGAUGAAGGACGUUGGAGCCUGCGAUAAGCCCUGGGGAGUUGGCAACCGAGCUGUGAUCCGGGGGUGUCCGAAUGGGGAAACCUGGCUGGAGUCAUGUCCAGUCAUCUCCGUCUGAAUAAAAUAGGGCGGUAGAGGGGAACGCGGGGAAGUGAAACAUCUCAGUACCCGUAGGAAGAGAAAACAAUAGUGAUUCCGAGAGUAGUGGCGAGCGAAAUCGGAUCAGGCUAAACCGUCUUCGUGUGAUACCCGGCAGGGGUUGCGGGGGCGGGGUUGUGGGAGUGUUUGUCUUUCGUCUGCCG
Molecule: ribosomal RNA, 346 nt
Filed under: Microcystis wesenbergii Mw_MB_S_20031200_S109D
Lineage: Bacteria; Bacillati; Cyanobacteriota; Cyanophyceae; Chroococcales; Microcystaceae
Description: partial 23S ribosomal RNA
Rfam family: Bacterial large subunit ribosomal RNA
Source: RNAcentral